Molecule: long non-coding RNA, 107 nt
Filed under: Anolis carolinensis (green anole)
Lineage: Eukaryota; Metazoa; Chordata; Lepidosauria; Squamata; Anolidae
Description: lncRNA (ENSACAG00000032320.2)
Source: RNAcentral
CCCGCCCCGAUCCCUUGGAAACAGGCAGGCAGAGGGGAGGGGGGCCUCCGCGGGCGGAAGUGAGGGGGCGCUUCCGGUUGGGCCCAGCCGAGGGCUGCCCUUUUUGA